Molecule: ribosomal RNA, 253 nt
Filed under: uncultured bacterium
Lineage: Bacteria
Description: partial 16S ribosomal RNA
Rfam family: Bacterial small subunit ribosomal RNA
Source: RNAcentral
UACGGAGGGUGCAAGCGUUAUCCGGAUUUACUGGGCGUAAAGGGCGCGUAGGCGGCGCGACAAGUCACUUGUGAAAUCUCUGGGCUCAACCCAGAACGGUCAAGUGAUACUGUCGUGCUAGAGUGCGGAAGGGGCAACUGGAAUUCUUGGUGUAGCGGUGAAAUGCGUAGAUAUCAAGAGGAACACCUGCGGCGAAGGCGGGUUGCUGGGCCGACACUGACGCUGAGGCGCGAAAGCUAGGGGAGCGAACGGG